CAGUAGCCACGGUAAUACGUAGGUGGCAAGCGUUGUCCGGAAUUAUUGGGCGUAAAGGGCUCGCAGGCGGUUUCUUAAGUCUGAUGUGAAAGCCCCCGGCUCAACCGGGGAGGGUCAUUGGAAACUGGGAAACUUGAGUGCAGAAGAGGAGAGUGGAAUUCCACGUGUAGCGGUGAAAUGCGUAGAGAUGUGGAGGAACACCAGUGGCGAAGGCGACUCUCUGGUCUGUAGCUGACGCUGAGGAGCGAAAGCGUGGGGAGCGAACAGGAUUAGAUACCCCUGUAGUCCCUGUCUCUUAUAC
RNAcentral lists this ribosomal RNA (301 nucleotides) under uncultured bacterium. RNAcentral describes it as "partial 16S ribosomal RNA". It matches the Rfam family "Bacterial small subunit ribosomal RNA", at positions 509 to 807 of the family's 1533-position model. The record is from RNAcentral.